Molecule: long non-coding RNA, 188 nt
Filed under: Mustela putorius furo (domestic ferret)
Lineage: Eukaryota; Metazoa; Chordata; Mammalia; Carnivora; Mustelidae
Description: lncRNA (ENSMPUG00000030741.1)
Source: RNAcentral
AGGAAACCUACUAAAACCUUGAAUGAAUGACAUAAAAGAAGCUUCUAAGUCACAAACAUGGUCCAACCCAGUUCACAAGGGCCACAGACCAGCCACCCACCUCCCAGAAAAAUCCCCUCGUGAGAAAAACUCCUCGUUGGACUGACUGGAGGUAAAGGGUUUAAUUUAGUAUAAAUAUGUAGAGCAGG